This 443-nucleotide ribosomal RNA is filed under the name uncultured bacterium. RNAcentral describes it as "partial 16S ribosomal RNA". It matches the Rfam family "Bacterial small subunit ribosomal RNA", at positions 338 to 795 of the family's 1533-position model. The record is from RNAcentral.
CCUACGGGAGACAGCAGUGGGGAAUAUUGGGCAAUGGGCGCAAGCCUGACCCAGCAACGCCGCGUGAAGGAAGAAGGCUUUCGGGUUGUAAACUUCUUUUCUGAGGGACGAAGAAAGUGACGGUACCGCAGGAAUAAGCCACGGCUAACUACGUGCCAGCAGCCGCGGUAAUACGUAGGUGGCAAGCGUUAUCCGGAUUUAUUGGGUGUAAAGGGCGUGUAGGCGGGAAAGCAAGUCAGAUGUGAAAACUCAGGGCUCAACCCUGAGCCUGCAUUUGAAACUGUUUUUCUUGAGUGCUGGAGAGGCAAUCGGAAUUCCGUGUGUAGCGGUGAAAUGCGUAGAUAUAUGGAAGAACACCAGUGGCGAAGGCGGCUCUCUGGUCUGCAACUGACGCUGAGGCUCGAAAGCAUGGGUAGCGAACAGGAUUAGAUACCCGUGUAGUC